CCAGACUCCUACGGGAGGCAGCAGUGAGGAAUAUUGGUCAAUGGUCGGGAGACUGAACCAGCCAAGCCGCGUGAGGGAGGAAGGUACAGAGUAUCGUAAACCUCUUUUGUCAGGGAACAAAGACUGGGACGCGUCCCCGGAUGAGUGUACCUGAAGAAAAAGCAUCGGCUAACUCCGUGCCAGCAGCCGCGGUAAUACGGAGGAUGCGAGCGUUAUCCGGAUUUAUUGGGUUUAAAGGGUGCGCAGGCGGAAUGUCAAGUCAGCGGUAAAAUUUCGGGGCUCAACCCCGUCGUGCCGUUGAAACUGGCGUUCUUGAGUGAGCGAGAAGUAUGCGGAAUGCGUGGUGUAGCGGUGAAAUGCAUAGAUAUCACGCAGAACUCCGAUUGCGAAGGCAGCCUGCCGCAGCGUUACUGACGCUGAAGCUCGAAAGCGCGGGUAUCGAACAGGAUUAGAUACCCCUGUAC
Molecule: ribosomal RNA, 464 nt
Filed under: uncultured bacterium
Lineage: Bacteria
Description: bacterial SSU rRNA
Rfam family: Bacterial small subunit ribosomal RNA
Source: RNAcentral